This 1962-nucleotide ribosomal RNA is filed under the name Bacteroidota bacterium. RNAcentral describes it as "bacterial LSU rRNA". It matches the Rfam family "Bacterial large subunit ribosomal RNA", at positions 1 to 1997 of the family's 2925-position model. Lineage: Bacteria; Pseudomonadati; Bacteroidota. The record is from RNAcentral.
GUUAUAUGGUCAAGUGAAUAAGUGCAUACGGUGGAUGCCUUGGCAGCUAGAGGCGAUGAAGGACGUUGUAGCCUGCGAAAAGCCUCGGGGAGCUGGCAAACAAGCUGUGAUCCGAGGAUGUCCGAAUGGGGAAACCCACCUGCCACAGGCAGGUAUCCUGCACUGAAUUCAUAGGUGUAGGAGGCGAACCCGGGGAACUGAAACAUCUAAGUACCCGGAGGAAAAGAAAUCAACCGAGAUUCCCUGAGUAGUGGCGAGCGAAAGGGGAGCAGCCCUUAAGCAUGGGGAUGAGUAGAAGAACUGUCUGGAAAGUCAGGCCAUAGUGGGUGAUAGCCCCGUAUUCGAAACUCUACCUCAUGUGAAAACGAGUAGGUCGGGACACGUGUUAUCUUGACUGAAGAUGGGGGGACCAUCCUCCAAGGCUAAAUACUCCUAGCUGACCGAUAGUGAACCAGUACCGUGAGGGAAAGGCGAAAAGAACCCCGGAGAGGGGAGUGAAAUAGAACCUGAAACCGUAUGCAUACAAGCAGUGGGAGCACCUUAGGGUGUGACUGCGUACCUUUUGUAUAAUGGGUCAGCGACUUACUUUCAGUAGCAAGGUUAACCGAUUAGGGGAGCCGUAGAGAAAUCGAGUCUUAAUAGGGCGUUGAGUUGCUGGGAGUAGACCCGAAACCGAGCGAUCUAUCCAUGGGCAGGGUGAAGGUUAGGUAACACUGACUGGAGGCCCGAACCGACUGUCGUUGAAAAGCCAGCGGAUGACCUGUGGAUCGGAGUGAAAGGCUAAUCAAGCUCGGAGAUAGCUGGUUCUCCUCGAAAGCUAUUUAGGUAGCGCCUCGCAAUAGACUCCUGGGGGUAGAGCACUGUUUGGGCUAGGGGGCCAUCUCGGCUUACCAACCCCAUGCAAACUCCGAAUACCAGGAAGUUGUUUUGCGGGAGACACACGGCGGGUGCUAACGUCCGUCGUGGAAAGGGAAACAACCCAGACCGCCAGCUAAGGUCCCCAAGUUCUAGUUAAGUGGGAAACGAUGUGGGAAGGCUUAGACAGCCAGGAGGUUGGCUUAGAAGCAGCCAUCCUUUAAAGAAAGCGUAAUAGCUCACUGGUCGAGUCGGCCUGCGCGGAAGAUGUAACGGGGCUAAAACUAGACACCGAAGCUGCGGGUUCAUACGAAGUAUGAGCGGUAGAGGAGCGUUCUGUAAGCUGUUGAAGGUGAACUGAGAGGUUUGCUGGAGGUAUCAGAAGUGCGAAUGCUGACAUGAGUAACGAUAAAGGGAGUGAAAAACUCCCUCGCCGAAAGACCAAGGGUUCCUGUCCAACGUUAAUCGGGGCAGGGUGAGUCGACCCCUAAGGCGAGGCCGAGAGGCGUAGUCGAUGGGAAACAGGUUAAUAUUCCUGUACCAGUUAUAACUGCGAUGGAGAGACGGAGAAGGCUAGGCAUACCGGGCGUUGGUUGUCCCGGGGAAAGUGAGUAGGCUGAGAACUUAGGCAAAUCCGGGUUCUUAAGGCUGAGACACGAGACCACUGCCCAAUGUGGCGGGAAGUUGUCGAUGCCCUGCUUCCAGGAAAUACCUUCUAAGCUUCAGGUUAUAAGUGAUCGUACCCCAAACCGACACAGGUGGUCUGGUAGAGAAUACCAAGGCGCUUGAGAGAACUCGGGUGAAGGAACUAGGCAAAAUAGUACCGUAACUUCGGGAGAAGGUACGCUGCUGACGGUGAAGGACUUGCUCCGUAAGCUGUUGGCAGUCUCAGUGACCAGGUGGCUGCGACUGUUUAUUAAAAACAUAGCACUCUGCAAACUCGAAAGAGGACGUAUAGGGUGUGACGCCUGCCCGGUGCCGGAAGGUUAAUUGAUGGGGUUAGCGUAUGCGAAGCUCUUGAUCGAAGCCCCGGUAAACGGCGGCCGUAACUAUAACGGUCCUAAGGUAGCGAAAUUCCUUGUCGGGUAAGUUCCGACCUGCACGAAU